GAGGUUGUGGCUCAGUGGUAGAGUGCUCGCCUGGCAUGUGUGGAGCCCUGGCUUCAAUCUUCAGCACCACA
This 71-nucleotide transfer RNA is filed under the name Marmota monax (woodchuck). Its description in RNAcentral is "tRNA.Ala". The record is from RNAcentral. Lineage: Eukaryota; Metazoa; Chordata; Mammalia; Rodentia; Sciuridae.